GGUUUUGUCCCCCAGAAGCGUUUGGAGAUGUCUGCAGACAUCUGUGGUUGAUACAGCUUGCUAUGGUAUCCAGCCAGGAGGGGCCUGGGAUGCUGCUAAAUAUUCUACAAUGCAUACAAAAAAGACUUCACCACUCUAAGAUGUCAGUAGUGCUGAGGUUGAGAAACCCUGGUAACACACACACACACACACACACACACACACACAGAAGAGACUCAUGAACUGUUGGAUACUGCCAAAUGUUCUUUCACUGCUAUGUGCAGUUGUUGUGGAUACUACGCUAAUUAUGGGUAACUCCAGAAUCACGAAUUGGAACAUGAAGAGAAGCAAGAAAAUGGACAGGCGACACAGACUGCAUUCUGCAAGAAUCUGUGGCCCUCUUGCUAGAACAGCAUGCUGUUUAGCUGCCAAAAUAUUAGGACUGAAAGCAGCUGGCAAAACUGUUCAUGGAGGAAGUGAGCCUGCUCGGAGAGGCCAAAGGAAAAUUCUCCUCGACUGUGACCCCAGAAGGACCCCCGGGCCUCAGGACCUCUUUUGGAAGCCUCUGCUCAGUCAGCUUGGGGCUCCCUCAGACCCCAGGGCCCCGGGGGCUCCUUUGAAGAGCAGCAUAGGAGAAUGCCCCGACACGAUCCUUUUAAAAACCUUUGCAGGCCUCUGUACAGGGGAGUUUGGCUUGAGGAAAAGCUUCUCAGUGGAAAUACUGUUGAAGCUGCCGAGAGUUAUCUGGGCUGAUCCCUUUCCAUGAUGCUUCUCUGGACGACAGGGACCCUCAGCUCCAGGAAGCUAGUGUGCAGCCGUGACCCAGCCAGCUAUCAUUGCUCUGUCCCGGUUCUCGGGGAAGGCCCCUCCAGCCCCUUCCUGCCCCUAGAUGGCACCUCCACAAAGAGCGAAUUUUCUCCCAUCCAUGACCUGGCAAACAGGAGCCAUCACAGGAGUGAAGAUACAUCAACGGAGGGCGGCAGGCACUUGUUUCAUCUCCCUGUUGGUGUAGUGCCUGAGACUUGACUUGUUUUAAAAUUAAAUAUUUUAAAACAUUUAAU
Molecule: long non-coding RNA, 1040 nt
Organism: Lynx canadensis (Canada lynx)
Lineage: Eukaryota; Metazoa; Chordata; Mammalia; Carnivora; Felidae
Exons: 4
Source: RefSeq, a predicted model, not a curated record